GGUUACUGCUAUCGAGGUUCGACUAAGCCAUGCGAGUCGAAUGUAGCAAUACAUGGCGAACUGCUCAGUAACACGUGGACAACCUGCCCUUAGGUUGGGUAUAAACCCGGGAAACUGGGUAUAAUACCCGAUAGGUCUCGAUUGCUGGAAUGCAUCGAGAUUUAAAGCUCCGGCGCCUAAGGAUGGGUCUGCGGCCUAUCAGGUAGUAGUGGGUGUAGCGUACCUACUAGCCUACGACGGGUACGGGUUGUGAGAGCAAGAGCCCGGAGAUGGAUUCUGAGACACGAAUCCAGGCCCUACGGGGUGCAGCAGGCGCGAAAACUUUACAAUGCUGGCAACAGCGAUAAGGGAACCUCGAGUGCCAGGUUACAAAUCUGGCUGUCGAGAUGCCUAAAAAGCAUUUCAUAGCAAGGGCCGGGCAAGACCGGUGCCAGCCGCCGCGGUAACACCGGCGGCUCGAGUGGUAACCGUUAUUAUUGGGUCUAAAGGGUCUGUAGCCGGCCGGAUAAGUCUCUUGAGAAAUCUGGCAGCUUAACUGUCAGGCUUUCAGGAGAUACUGUCUGGCUCGAGGCCGGGAGAGGUGAGAGGUACUUCAGGGGUAGGGGUGAAAUCUUGUAAUCCUUGAAGGACCACCAGUGGCGAAAGCGUCUCACCAGAACGGACCUGACGGCAAGGGACGAAAGCUAGGGGCACGAACCGGAUUAGAUACCCGGGUAGU
RNAcentral lists this ribosomal RNA (718 nucleotides) under archaeon enrichment culture clone A21D39. RNAcentral describes it as "bacterial SSU rRNA". It matches the Rfam family "Archaeal small subunit ribosomal RNA", at positions 21 to 745 of the family's 1478-position model. The record is from RNAcentral.